This 560-nucleotide long non-coding RNA is filed under the name Sorghum bicolor (sorghum). RNAcentral describes it as "long non-coding RNA (SBIC_LNC007036)". The record is from RNAcentral. Lineage: Eukaryota; Viridiplantae; Streptophyta; Magnoliopsida; Poales; Poaceae.
GGGGCGGAAGCAGAGAGCGCGGCGGCGGCUGUGGCUCGCUAGCGGCGACAUGGUGAGUGUAGCCGGGCGUGGGGAGUCGAGGCGGCGUACGGAGGUGGGAAAAGUCGAUGCGGCCGGGGCAGCGUCGGGGUGGUCACCCGAGGAGGCGGCGGCAGCAGCAGCGUUGCAUCCGGUAGAGAGGGCGAGGGUGAGAGGGAGGGGGAGGGGCAGGGGCCGGUGGGCCGCCUGUCUAGCUGGGCCGGCCCACCAGAGGCAGGUUUUUUUAUUUUACUUAUUUUUUAUUUUUCUCAUAUGAUGUAUGUGGGGGUAUAAACCCCUAUACCCUUACGGCUAGACUUGGGCCAGGAGGUUUGGCCCAUUACGAGACAAGCUCAAGGUUUGAUCCGACAAGCUCGGAGUUUUGCGCAAGGAAACAAGACGUGGAGAUCAAACAGAAUUCUAGUCGGUUAGAAUAGGAAUUGAUAUCGAACUAUCUAUGGCAAUUGUAACCGACUAGGAUUAGUUUCCGGAUCUGUAAACCUGCCCUCCGAACUAUAUAAGGAGAGGCAAGGGACCCCCCC